This 254-nucleotide ribosomal RNA is filed under the name uncultured bacterium. RNAcentral describes it as "partial 16S ribosomal RNA". It matches the Rfam family "Bacterial small subunit ribosomal RNA", at positions 524 to 777 of the family's 1533-position model. The record is from RNAcentral.
UACAGAGGUCUCAAGCGUUGUUCGGAUUCAUUGGGCGUAAAGGGUGCGUAGGCGGUGAUGCAAGUCUGGUGUGAAAUCUCGGAGCUCAACUCCGAAAUUGCACCGGAUACUGCGUGACUCGAGGACUGUAGAGGAGAUCGGAAUUCACGGUGUAGCAGUGAAAUGCGUAGAUAUCGUGAGGAAGACCAGUUGCGAAGGCGGAUCUCUGGGCAGUUCCUGACACUGAGGCACGAAGGCCAGGGGAGCAAAACGGG